RNAcentral lists this ribosomal RNA (255 nucleotides) under uncultured bacterium. Its description in RNAcentral is "partial 16S ribosomal RNA". It matches the Rfam family "Bacterial small subunit ribosomal RNA", at positions 524 to 777 of the family's 1533-position model. The record is from RNAcentral.
UACAGAGGGGGCAAGCGUUGUUCGGAAUUACUGGGCGUAAAGGGCGCGUAGGCGGCCUGUUAAGUCGAACGUGAAAUCCCCGGGCUCAACCCGGGAACUGCGUCCGAUACUGGCAGGCUUGAAUUCGGGAGAGGGAUGCGGAAUUCCACGUGUAGCAGUGAAAUGCGUAGAGAUGUGGAGGAAUACCGAUGGCGAAGGCAGCCCCCUGGGAUAACACUCGACGCUCAUGCACGAAAGCGUGGGGAGCAAACAGGA